RNAcentral lists this ribosomal RNA (253 nucleotides) under uncultured bacterium. RNAcentral describes it as "partial 16S ribosomal RNA". It matches the Rfam family "Bacterial small subunit ribosomal RNA", at positions 524 to 776 of the family's 1533-position model. The record is from RNAcentral.
UACGGAGGGUGCAAGCGUUAUCCGGAUUUACUGGGUUUAAAGGGAGCGUAGGUGGGUCGGUAAGUCAGUGGUGAAAUCUUCGAGCUUAACUCGGAAACUGCCAUUGAUACUAUCGAUCUUGAAUUAUCUGGAGGUAAGCGGAAUAUGUCAUGAAGCGGUGAAAUGCUUAGAUAUGACAUAGAACACCCAUUGCGAAGGCAGCUUACUACGGAUAUAUUGACACUGAGGCUCGAAAGCGUGGGGAUCAAACAGG